GCAAAAUUACAUGCGGAUAAGAAUAUUAAAGAGAAUAUGAAUGAGGACUGACUGGAAGAAGAGAUCCUCCUCAAACACAUAUAGUUAAGUGAUGACAAUCUAACUUCUCAUCAGUUAAAAGUACCUGAUGGAAGCUAAUAUAACUACAGUGCACACGAAGCUAUGUACUUCAUGCCUACAAACAUACAAAUACUUGCAAGGAAAUUCUGACUUCUCAU
Rhodamnia argentea is the source of this 218-nucleotide long non-coding RNA. RefSeq lists it as uncharacterized. Lineage: Eukaryota; Viridiplantae; Streptophyta; Magnoliopsida; Myrtales; Myrtaceae. The transcript is spliced from 3 exons. The record is from RefSeq and is a predicted model, not a curated record.